Molecule: ribosomal RNA, 263 nt
Filed under: Salmonella enterica
Lineage: Bacteria; Pseudomonadati; Pseudomonadota; Gammaproteobacteria; Enterobacterales; Enterobacteriaceae
Description: partial 16S ribosomal RNA
Rfam family: Bacterial small subunit ribosomal RNA
Source: RNAcentral
AAAUUGAAGAGUUUGAUCAUGGCUCAGAUUGAACGCUGGCGGCAGGCCUAACACAUGCAAGUCGAACGGUAACAGGAAGCAGCUUGCUGUUUCGCUGACGAGUGGCGGACGGGUGAGUAAUGUCUGGGAAACUGCCUGAUGGAGGGGGAUAACUACUGGAAACGGUGGCUAAUACCGCAUAACGUCGCAAGACCAAAGAGGGGGACCUUCGGGCCUCUUGCCAUCAGAUGUGCCCAGAUGGGAUUAGCUUGUUGGUGAGGUAA